This 404-nucleotide ribosomal RNA is filed under the name bacterium enrichment culture clone LiUU-17-306. RNAcentral's name for it is "bacterial SSU rRNA". It matches the Rfam family "Bacterial small subunit ribosomal RNA", at positions 509 to 911 of the family's 1533-position model. The record is from RNAcentral.
CAGCCGCCGCGGUAAUACAGAGGAUACAAGCGUUAUCCGGAAUCACUGGGCAUAAAGCGUCUGUAGGUUGCCUACCAAGUCUGCUGUUAAAGAUCAGGGCCUAACCCUGGGAAAGCAGUGGAAACUAGUAGGCUUGAGUGUGGUAGAGGUAGAGGGAAUUCCUGGUGUAGCGGUGAAAUGCGUAGAUAUUAGGAAGAACACCAAUGGCGAAAGCACUCUACUGGGCCAUAACUGACACUGAGAGACGACAGCUAGGGGAGCAAAUGGGAUUAGAUACCCCAGUAGUCCUAGCCGUAAACGAUGGAUACUAGGUGUUGCACGUAUUAACCCGUGCAGUAUCGUAGCUAAGGCGUUAAGUAUCCCGCCUGGGAAGUUCGCUCGCAAGAUUGAAACUCAAAGGAAUU